GUCAUUAUGACCCUUCAAUGAUAUAUUUGGGUAUCACCUUUUAGAAAAGGAUAUUGUUAUAUGUACAUCAAACUUUACAUAAUGGGUUACAUUAUACCACAUGUCACGAUAUCAUUCGUUAGUUUAAAUCAUAGUCAAUUUUUUCAUCCAAUAUUUUCUCUUCACAUCAUUUUAUGUAAUCCCUUAGUGCAAUUUUUAUGUACAUGUAGCAUGAUCCUUCAAAAAAAUGAUGCAAUUUCAUUUUCUAAUAUAAAAUAUUUCAUUUACGAAGUACUAACUGUGUGGUAAUUAAAAUAACAAAAAUAUUCAUUGCUAUGCUGCUACUGAUUAAAUAUUGAGCUGUGUGUGAAUAAUAUUAUUUGUCAUGCUAAUGGUCAGAUAUGAGCUUCAUGCCAUUCGACUAGAAAAACUAAAAGAGCUUAGAGCAGAGAACGGAACUGUCUCAAAUACUAGUGCAUGUGAACUUGAAAUGUCAGAAGCAAAACACACAAUAUCUAUGGAGCCUGCAACUUCCAUGGAAAGAAACUCAGAUGGCGCUCAAAGCUGAAAUCGAGGAAGAGGUACUAGUUUGCUUCUUGUUCCACCUUUCUCAGGAUUAAUUUCAUUUUGAUCUUCAUUUCCCUACUUUGAUGUUUCUGUUGCUAAAUUGAGGAACUUUUUUAACAUUCAGAUAAUUUGGCAGCGACUGGGGAAAAUGCAAAGAUAUUUGACGCUCAGGAAAAAAAAAAAAAAUACUCACUCAGUUGUUAGGAAAAAUCUAAACGGACAGGGCAACGUGGACGUACAUGUGCUCCCCCCUGGACGGACAGGGCCUACGUUGCCUUGUCCGUGUAGCAGGCCUCCAGUUGUUAAUCUGCCAAGGGAAGACCUCAAGGUGAUUUACCGGGGAAAUUAUAACAAAGCCUUACCAGGCAGAUGACCUGAGUUCGAGUUUCCUUUUGGGAGGGCGAAAUCCUGUGAUUCCCUUUCUAGGGACAAAAGGUCGUAUGGCUUAGAUAAUUGGUUUUGCUGAAAAUAACAAGAAUUAUUAUCCGCAUAGCUAAUUUUUAGUUCUCUCUCUCUUUCUACUGUAUCUUUUUGUCAUCUUGUUUAUAAGUUUAAGAGGGGGUUUGAGAUUCAUUUUUAUGUAAAAAUUCAUUUUAGAAUAGUGAAUUGAUGAGGAAUGUGUGGUUGAAAAAUAAGAAUUUUUUUUUAAUUUACGUAUAAUAUUAUUUUAAUAAAGAAAGUGUGAUUGAAAAGGAAAG
RNAcentral lists this long non-coding RNA (1244 nucleotides) under Olea europaea subsp. europaea. The record is from RNAcentral. Lineage: Eukaryota; Viridiplantae; Streptophyta; Magnoliopsida; Lamiales; Oleaceae.